RNAcentral lists this ribosomal RNA (370 nucleotides) under uncultured organism. Its description in RNAcentral is "partial 16S ribosomal RNA". It matches the Rfam family "Bacterial small subunit ribosomal RNA", at positions 527 to 896 of the family's 1533-position model. The record is from RNAcentral.
GUACUGUGCGAACGUUAUUCGGAAUCACUGGGCUUAAAGGGUGCGUAGGCGGUUGAUUAAGUAGGGUGUGAAAGCUCUCGGCCUAACCGAGGAAUUGCGCUCUAAACUGAUCGGCUUGAGUGAGAUAGGGGUGUGCGGAACUUCCAGUGGAGCGGUGAAAUGUGUUGAUACUGGAAGGAACGCCGGUGGCGAAAGCGGCACACUGGGUCUCAACUGACGCUGAGGCACGAAAGCCAGGGUAGCGAACGGGGGAUUAGAUACCCCGGUAGUCCUGGCUGUAAACGAUGAGCACUAGACGGGAGGAGCUUCGGCUCAUCCGGUCGCAGCGAAAGCAAUAAGUGCUCCGCCUGGGAGUAUGGUCGCAAGGCUG